Molecule: small nuclear RNA, 124 nt
Filed under: Chinchilla lanigera (long-tailed chinchilla)
Lineage: Eukaryota; Metazoa; Chordata; Mammalia; Rodentia; Chinchillidae
Description: U4 spliceosomal RNA (ENSCLAG00000020508.1)
Source: RNAcentral
AGCUUUGCGCAGUGGCAGUAUCAUAGCCAAUGUGGUUUAUCUGAGGUGCAAUUAUUGCUAGAAGGAUUGGAAGUUCAAGGACAUGGUUUUGGAUAUGUCAGCAAUUUCUUCUCUAUCACCAUAG